UACGGAGGGUGCGAGCGUUGUCCGGAUUUAUUGGGUUUAAAGGGUGCGUAGGUGGCUGAUUAAGUCAGUGGUGAAAUACAGCCGCUCAACGGUUGAGGUGCCAUUGAUACUGAUUAGCUUGAAAGAAUUGGAGGCUGCCGGAAUGGAUGGUGUAGCGGUGAAAUGCAUAGAUAUCAUCCAGAACACCGAUUGCGAAGGCAGGUGGCUACGAUUUAUUUGACACUGAGGCACGAAAGCAUGGGGAGCGAACAGG
Molecule: ribosomal RNA, 253 nt
Filed under: uncultured bacterium
Lineage: Bacteria
Description: partial 16S ribosomal RNA
Rfam family: Bacterial small subunit ribosomal RNA
Source: RNAcentral